RNAcentral lists this ribosomal RNA (744 nucleotides) under Triticum aestivum (bread wheat). Its description in RNAcentral is "partial small subunit ribosomal RNA". Lineage: Eukaryota; Viridiplantae; Streptophyta; Magnoliopsida; Poales; Poaceae. The record is from RNAcentral.
AUGGGGACCUUGUUGCGACUAUUGAAUGAAUGGGAGAUCCAACUGCUUGUGCUUCUCAGUUUCAUGCUACAAAUAUUCCUCUUUUUUACUGGCAGCCUUCGACGACGUGGCGCUAAGUUUCUUAGUGGCAUCAUUUGGAUAGCUUAUUUAGUGGCAGACAUGGUAGCAGUUUACACCCUUGGUUUACUCUCAAAACAAGCGGAAAACACCACCCAACUGACAGAAAACCACCCACUAGCUUUCUUUUGGGCACCCUUCCUACUGCUUCAUCUUGGCGGACAGGACACCAUCACUGCUUUUUCCUUGGAGGACAACAGUUUGUGGUUGAGGCAUUUGUUAAAUUUGAUAGUCCAAGUGGUCCUAGCCUUGUAUGUCUUCUGGAAGUCUACUGCUUGGCGAAAUGUGCAGAUUCUUGUUCCGGGCAUCUUUAUGUUUGUUGCUGGAAUCAUUAAGUAUGGGGAGAGGACGAUCGCUCUCAUGUACGGGAACUUACAAAACAUCAGUGGCUACAAUAGUAAUGAAGAAGAAAAUAGGUUGACUCAUCCAGAACUAGAGGAGGAUGCUAGCUACUCUAGCAUUAUUAGUUUUUCCUUGGAUUCAGCUCCAAUAGUUCGACACUUAUUUGCUGGAUUUACACUCUUCCAGAUACCAGAAGGCUUCCGCGCAACAACUUGGACGAGAGCUAUGCUCGAUCACAUCAAGUCCAACAGGCCAAGUUGGCCAAGUUGGUUCAUGUUGAACUAG